UUAUUUAAAGUCACAAGAAAUAGAAAUAGACAGAAAAAUUCAGUAUUUAAAUCACAAAUUUAAUUUAGAAAAAAUACCUACAAAAUUAGAAAUUGAAAAGCUAAUAAAAACUAUAAUAGAAAAACCUAAAGAAUUAAAAGUAAAAACUACUCAAUUAAUAUCUAAACUUAUAGAACAAGUAGAAAAUAUAACAACAGAAAUCAAAGAUUUGCAAGAAAUAACAAAAAGAUUAGAAGAAAUAUCACUUUCAUGAGUGAAGAAGAUAUAAAUUAUAGUAAGGCACUAGAAAAAUCAAGAAGUUAUCAUAGCGAACCAGAAGGAUUAUCUAAGCAUAUACCUUCAAGUAUAACAGAUAAAUUUUUAUUAAAACAAAAUAAUACCAUGAUAGAGUUAUUAUUAGACUUACAUAAAAAGAUAGAUAUU
RNAcentral lists this long non-coding RNA (423 nucleotides) under Capsicum annuum. Its description in RNAcentral is "long non-coding RNA (CANN_LNC019057)". The record is from RNAcentral. Lineage: Eukaryota; Viridiplantae; Streptophyta; Magnoliopsida; Solanales; Solanaceae.